Mauremys reevesii (Reeves's turtle) is the source of this 3670-nucleotide long non-coding RNA. RefSeq lists it as uncharacterized. The transcript has 4 exons. The record is from RefSeq and is a predicted model, not a curated record. Lineage: Eukaryota; Metazoa; Chordata; Testudines; Geoemydidae.
CACAUCCAAUCGAAGUCCCUUGAUUCUACCCAGCAUCGGACUCACUGGGAACCACAAAAUCCCACCAGUCUCUUGGCGCAGUGAGCAGGGUGAGAAAUAUCUUUCCGGAUCACAACCUACAAUCUAAUUAGAGGAUGGCCAAACGCACAUGAAAGGCUUAGAAGUGAUCCUGCAGCACUUGGCAGACAGUGGGGAAAGAAAUCUUCGGCAGUCCAGGUGGCAAGAUGGACUCGAUGGGAAACGAGCUUGCUAAUGCCUUCAGUACGUCUGCAACGAGCGUCAUCGCUAAACCCUGCCACCCUCACGCCUAGCCCAGAUGAGGGACACCCGCAUCGGUGUUGCCUUAAGGAAGAGCCCAUGGACCUUCCAUUGGUAAAAGAAACUGCAAUACCUGGUGCCCCUUGCCUAUACGUGGAUGGUUCUUCCUCCUACAUGGAUGGCAAGUGACACACAGGAUGGGCUGUUUGUACGCAAGAUGGGCAGCUGGUGACACCUGGCAGUUUACUUGGGGCAUCAGCACAAGUAACAGAACUGCAGGUGUUAGUUGCGCAUGUGAAGCCGCGGAAGGUCAUGCUAUAAACAUAGAUACUAAUUCUAGAUGUGUGUUUGGGGUUGUAGAUAAUUACAUUAACUCGUGGGUAAAUCGGGGAUUCCUGACAAGUACAGGAUCCCAAUACAAAAUGGGGGGAUAGUGCAGAAACGUCAUGCAGCCAUGCAGAAACCUACCGACAUAGCAGUGUUAAAAGUGAAGGCCCACACAGAAGGGAGGGGAACCGAAGGGCAGAUGAACUAGCUAAACAAGCAGCAGUGGAAGGUAAAGAGACCCAAUUGGUUGCUGCAACACAGCCUCUCAUAAAACCCCCAAACUUUUUUGAAUUACAGGACAUUCAGCACACUGCCCCAAGGGCAGAGAAGUGGUUAUGGAUGGAUAAUGGGGGCAAUCUGUGUGAUGAUAACACUUGGAGAGGGCCAGGGAACACAUUAGUGUUACCAAAUGUGCUAAUGGGAACUAUUAUUCAAGUGUAUCACAUGUUGGGACAUGAUGGAGCAUGGAGGGUGAUCCACCGUAUGUCAAACACCUGGUGGCAUCCUAAGCUUAAUGCAGACGUGCAUGAUUAUGUGAGAAGGCGUGUAACGUGUGCUCAAUAUAAUUCUGCUCCCACAGUGAAAAUGAAAAUGCAGCAUCAGCCAAGACCAACACAGCCCUUCACGCAGUUACAAAUAGAUGGAAUUGGUCCCCUGCCAAGGUGCAGAGGGAAAGAAUAUGUUCUGGUGAUCAUGGAUCACUUUACUAAGGCGGGCGAUGAGGACGCCAGGAAAUCUGUGCAUUGUAGGGGGGGAAUUGUAUGUCAUGGGUGACCAGCCUGUUGAAUAUUGCAAAUUGUUAUCGCAGUGUGUCUCACAGGACCCCCGAACUGAGCCAGACUCAAAGGCUGGCAAAGAGGACAUAUGUGAGGUGCAGCCUGGUGACCAGGUGAUGGUGAAAGCCUAUAGAAAACGAACCUUUGAACCAGCCUGGACUGGGCCUCACACGCUUCUCUUAGUAACUCCUUCAGCAGCCCGGGUCACUGGAAUUCCAGUUCGGGUGCACCUGUCACGUGUAAAAGUAUUCAAGGGUGAGACCCAACAUGGGGCACAACAAUCCCUGUUUACUCUAUGGACUCCUGGAAAGCCGCUCGUAAUAUUGUUAAGUGUUUGCAGCUGAUAUUCCCAGUUUAAAAUUGAUGUAGGAAUUUUUGUAGUCUACUAAUUGUGUUGAGUGGUUUUGAAAGUUUCAUCUUAAUAAUGCUGCAGUGGCUUUCAGUGUUUUACUGAUGUAAUCACCUGGGGAGGAGCCACUGGAUCAGUUGUAAAUGCCAUUACUGAAAUCUAAUCAUAGGGACUGGGUUAAAAUUUGUCUGUAGCAGGAAUGACAGUUCAUUGUGGUGAGAGUGGGGCUCACGUCUCAUCAAGUUAGCUAUUCCCUUAACUCAGCAACAGUUGGUUAGGUCCUCACUGUUGUACUCAGCCAUCUCUUAACAACUACUCAAAUGUAUAAGCAAACAUUGGUCUAGGCAUGUGGAAAAAUUGUGUUAUCUUCCUGGCAUGGUAUCUUCCUGGUGUUCAACAUGAAAGUUGCAGCCCUGAUAGGAGACUCACUCGUGCCACAGGUGCCAUGUUGAGUGAGAGCUGCAGUUCUCAGAGACUGAAUGUCUUCACCUUGGAUGGUGGCAGGGGAGUGGUCCCUAUCGAUAAUAGGGGUAUGUAGUGAUGGUCAUUGCAUCCUUGGAGGGGUGUUAAUUCCUGAACUGGAGGCUCAGCCAGUGCACCCACUCCCAUUCGCAUGUCACAGACACCUGUAUAGAAUAAGGGCCGGAGAUAACUAUAUGGCUUUCCCACGGGACCAAUGUUCCAUCCUGGAGGAUGGGUUUUGUGUACGGAAAACCUGAAGUCAGGACAAGCCUUAUCUCAAAUGUUGGGACCUGACUUAAUGGUGCAUGUAAUGUAAUUUCAUGGAUGAUACAGCAGUGAGGAAGGACGCCAUUAUCUGGUGUGGCUGUGGGUGGUUAACUGUGGCAGGCAAGCCUUGCUUAAAUAUCUCGUUCUUCCUAUUGUGUUAAGCUUUUUAAAAAUAUUAUGAAAAACGUGGUAGGGCAAUUACAGUGAUUCAGUGGCUAGAAGGGUUUGCUAUUGUGGAAACAAAAAUUCCAUGGGGAAUGGAUUUGGGUUGUGUUCUCACAGUGGUAUGUGGACUUAUUAUUUUGAUUGUAAAUAUUAUUAUGUAUUAUUUCAUUCUGUUGUCAAAAUCAUAGUUAAUUAUUGAUAAAGUUAAUUAUUGCUCCUAAUAAAUACAAGGAAGUGGUGUUAGUGGGGUCUAAGAAUUGUUCUUACCCCAAAACCAAAUGGGGGAGCUGAAGGGGAUGCUUGUGUUCAUUUUGGAUACAAUGUGCUUUGCAGGGUACUUGUGCCUAGGGAAGCCCGCUGUGGCUCACCAGCCUCGGAACAUUCUAGAGAAAGCCAGGGGGAGGGGUUGAGCUCAGCAGGUGGCAUGGAGCACUAUGAGCAUGUGAUAAACAUGGGUUUGUUUAACUGUGAUUGGUUAGAGCUUCCUGUUCUGUAAGUUGUUCUAUAACUUGUUCUAUAAGUGCCAUGUGCUAUAAACUAGCAAGGGGAGGGGCUCCUGGCUGGAGGGACUCUGCCUGAUUCUUUGUCCCAGGGGCUCUCCUUGUGCACAUAUUGAAUAAAGCCUUGUUGAAUUGAAUCACAUGGAAUCGAAGUCCCUUGAUUCUACCCAGCAUCAGACUCACUGGGAAGCACAAAAUCCCAACACAGGGUAAGCAGAUUCAUAUAGCCCAGAGAACGCCCUCUAGCCUUAGGUUCACAGUUACAGCAAACAGAGGUCAAAUCCUCUCAGCCAAAAGGAACAUUUACAAGCUGAGAAAACAAAAAUAAGACUAACACGCCUUGCCUGACUAUUACUUACAAGUUUGAAACAUGAGAGACUGAUGCAGUGGGGUGUUGUGGGGCGGAUGGGUCUCUUCUUUUGGGAGACGUGUAACAAUUUCUGUAGAAGAGCAGUUCUCCAGUCUACUUAGUGUCCCUCUCCUGUCUAGCCAGGGGCGGCUCUAGGAAUUGUGCCGCCCCAAGCAGGGCGGCGCACUGCAGGGGGCGCUCGGGCGGUCGCCUGUCC